CUCUUGCUGUUGUUGUCAGUCAGUCUGAUGUUUGGAGCACCUUCACUCUUGGAGACACAGCUGAUUUGGAAUGCUUCAUCACUGUGUAUGACGAUGGCAGGACAAGCCCCAGAUGUUCUCUCUGUAUUAUCACUGCAAUUUUCUUCGGAUAGUUUGACAAAAAGCGUUGCUUUGCUACAAGGGAGAGUGGCACCAGAUUUGUGCUGACCAUCUCAGAUUCCACGGCAUCCAACAUGGGGUUGUAUUACUGUGCUGCAAUUAAUUAUGAAAGCAUGAUCUUCGGGAGUUGUGUUUUUCUGAUACAUCAGGGUAUGCAUACAGGCGUUUUAUCUUCUCUUUUAGCAAAUAUAUGUUGUAUUUGUAAAUUGUGCAAAUCAUUGAUAGUUAAGUGAUUUUAUAGUCCUGGUAAAGAUGCAGAUUCCAGGACCCAGCAUGUUGUACAUAAGUCUGUGUCUGAGUCAGUCCAGCCAGGAGAGUCUGAACUGUAAAAUACACACUGAGACCUGUGCAGGAGAACACAGUGUCUAUUGGUUCAGACGUGGCUCAGGAGAAUCUCGUCCAGGAAUCAUUUACACCCAUGGAGACAGUAGUGAUCAGUGUGAGAAGAGCCCUGAGGCUGGGUCUCCUACACAGAUCUGUGUCUACAACCUCCCCAAGAGGAACCUCAGCCUCUCUGAUGCUGGGACUUACUACUGCGCUGUGGCCUCAUGUGGGGAGAUACUAUUUGGGAACGGGACCAAGCUGGAUGUUGAAGAUGGUGACGUUGAUCCAUAGAUGACAAUCCUGGUCCUUCUCUCCAUCAUAAGAACUGGAAUUCUCCUCUGCUGUCUGACCAUCUUCAUCAUCACCCACACCACCAUUAAAUAGAUAAAUCUAUGGCCAAUAUCAAUAGACUGACUGUAUGUAGUAUGUUACUUGCUUUCGCCA
Salvelinus namaycush (lake trout) is the source of this 927-nucleotide non-coding RNA. Lineage: Eukaryota; Metazoa; Chordata; Actinopteri; Salmoniformes; Salmonidae. The record is from the annotation of a RefSeq genome assembly.